ACCACGAAACUAUAUUGGAACAUUUCUCACGAACGAUGCGACUACGAGAGGAUUCGCUGUUUGAGGGCACACGCUACCGGAGCAGUUUGCGCUCGGACGCUUUAUUAUAAUUACUACACCUUCCCUAACUAUUGUGUGCUGGAGUACCAUAACUGUAUCGGCAGAUACGAAGGUAUUUGGACGAUCGCUUAUAUGGGUAUUUGUACAGAAUUGAAUUUAGAAAAAGA
Cydia fagiglandana is the source of this 227-nucleotide long non-coding RNA. RefSeq lists it as uncharacterized. The record is from RefSeq and is a predicted model, not a curated record. Lineage: Eukaryota; Metazoa; Arthropoda; Insecta; Lepidoptera; Tortricidae. The transcript is spliced from 3 exons.